AAUUAAAACCAUACCAAAGUGGCAUCGUCUGGUGAAACACCUGUAAAAACGUGCGUCGCUAAACAAUUCUGCUAUUGCUGUGCAUGGAACUUCACCGGCCACUCAAGGUCCUCAAGGGCAGAAAACAAAUACUAAAGUCAACGCGAUCGACAGUCAACGCUCUCACACUCUCACAACCCCAGUGCUUCUGCUGGACUCCCUGCUCACUGGCUAUGCCAAAGGCUAGGCGCGGGACCCCAGGACUUUGUUGUACACAACCUGGACGGCGCACUCACAAACCCAAAGGCGGAUGCAGAAUGUUUCUAAAGCUGGCAACACUUGUGAAGGAGAUCAGCUAGAAAUAUCACACAUGAAAUGCUACAUGAAGAAUCAACAAACUCUGUUUGGGAGAGAAGGCUGGACAGCUUCAAAUGCCAUGUGUUAAUGAGCUGAAGUCAAAAUACCUCAGGACAAGACAAGAGGAGGAUGUUAUCCACAAGCUUAUUCUAGAUUGAUAAUUUUAUUGCAAUCCAGGACCGGGUAAACACUUGUGUUCUUAUGCAGUGAUCAAAUCAAAACUUAACUUGGUUCCUUCAGGGGUUUUAGCCAAAAAUAGUUAGAAAAAAUUUCGUUUUUCAAAAUCAGGGAAAACUUGGGGAAUAAAAAAAUGGAGAAAAUGAGAAGGCUUCUUUUUGUAUAGCUUGAACUAAAACAACUAGACCAAACUACUGACCUAACUCCAUUCAAAUUGCAACCCAUAGUAUAACACGUUUUCAACAACUGACCACCACACUAACUUAGAACAGACACUUGUUAACUUGUACCAACACCAUACAGUAGUCACCACAGUAUUUCUGGACCUCAACAGAACUCACAUGAUCCAUGUGAUGUGAACUCUUUCAGCAGCCUCAACAAAAGCAUGACCAAAAAUAAACCAAUUGAAUCAGGCCAUAACUGAUCAGUCACUGAUUACUACCUAAGUUACAUAUUAAUGGCUUGACACAGCCAACAACAUUACAGCAAAUUGAUAUAACAUUGUAAUGACAUUUCCUGAUCAACUGACUACCAAUGUUUCACUUGACCAAGAUGACUUUUACUCAGGUUUUCAAAGCAUCAGUCCUUUGGCACUAGACAAACUACUGAAUGAUACUUUUUUUCGUUGUAGUUGGCAACUGGAUAGUUGUUCCUAUUGGCACCUCAAAAUGGGACAGUCAUUUUCUCAAUUCCUCUCCCCCCACCCUCCCUCCAAAUCUCCAGCCUUUUCGUGAUUCAUUAUUAUUUCCCAGUGUUCCCCAGGUUAAGGGUUAGUUUUGAGUUGAUCAUUGCAUACCUUAAUGUAAACCAAGUUCUGCUUUUUAUUUUGAAGUAUCACAGACAUGCUUGCUUGGAAAUUAUAAAUUAAACUGCUUUGGCUCAGUAAGUAAAUUUAUAUAGUUUUUAAAGUGGAUAACAUUUCUUUUGGUUUUAUUCUGUGUUUUUACUGUAUUUCCUCCUUG
Long non-coding RNA from Orbicella faveolata, 1475 nucleotides. The record is from RefSeq and is a predicted model, not a curated record. NCBI's taxonomy places the organism in Eukaryota, Metazoa, Cnidaria, Anthozoa, Scleractinia, Merulinidae.